Molecule: ribosomal RNA, 253 nt
Filed under: uncultured bacterium
Lineage: Bacteria
Description: partial 16S ribosomal RNA
Rfam family: Bacterial small subunit ribosomal RNA
Source: RNAcentral
UACGAAGGGGGCAAGCGUUGUUCGGAAUGACUGGGCGUAAAGGGCGCGUAGGCGGCCCGCUAAGUCGAACGUGAAAUCCCCGAGCUCAACUCGGGAACUGCGUCCGAUACUGGCGGGCUUGAAUCCGGGAGAGGGAUGCGGAAUUCCAGGUGUAGCGGUGAAAUGCGUAGAUAUCUGGAGGAACACCGGUGGCGAAGGCGGCAUCCUGGACCGGCAUUGACGCUGAGGCGCGAAAGCUAGGGGAGCAAACGGG